RNAcentral lists this transfer RNA (64 nucleotides) under Perisphaerus sp. 1 ZQW-2023b. RNAcentral describes it as "tRNA-Gly". The record is from RNAcentral. Lineage: Eukaryota; Metazoa; Arthropoda; Insecta; Blattodea; Blaberidae.
AUUUAUCUAAUAUAAAAAGUAUACUUGAUUUCCAAUCAAAAAGUUUGUUACAACAAGAUAAAUA